AGUGAACGCUGGCGGUAGGCCUAACACAUGCAAGUCGAACGGCAGCACAGUAAGAGCUUGCUCUUACGGGUGGCGGGUGGCGGACGGGUGAGGAAUACAUCGGAAUCUACUUUUUCGUGGGGGAUAACGUAGGGAAACUUACGCUAAUACCGCAUACGACCUACGGGCGAAAGCAGGGGAUCUUCGGACCUUGCGCGAUUGAAUGAGCCGAUGUCGGAUUAGCUAGUUGGCGGGGUAAAGGCCCACCAAGGCGACGAUCCGUAGCUGGUCUGAGAGGAUGAUCAGCCACACUGGAACUGAGACACGGUCCAGACUCCUACGGGAGGCAGCAGUGGGGAAUAUUGGACAAUGGGCGCAAGCCUGAUCCAGCCAUACCGCGUGGGUGAAGAAGGCCUUCGGGUUGUAAAGCCCUUUUGUUGGGAAAGAAAAGCAGCAGGUUAAUACCCCGCUGUUCUGACGGUACCCAAAGAAUAAGCACCGGCUAACUUCGU
Molecule: ribosomal RNA, 491 nt
Filed under: uncultured bacterium
Lineage: Bacteria
Description: partial 16S ribosomal RNA
Rfam family: Bacterial small subunit ribosomal RNA
Source: RNAcentral